This is a long non-coding RNA of Dendronephthya gigantea, 991 nucleotides long. RefSeq lists it as uncharacterized. The transcript has 9 exons. The record is from RefSeq and is a predicted model, not a curated record. NCBI's taxonomy places the organism in Eukaryota, Metazoa, Cnidaria, Anthozoa, Malacalcyonacea, Nephtheidae.
AUUUUGUUUUCCUCUUAAUCUUCUAAAGCAAAUCGUUUGGUCAGAAAUAAUGCAAAAAACCAUGUACAAUAUGAAAUACUCUUCCUAAAAAGCUAGCUAAUUCAGCUCCAAUUUUAAUACGAAUUUUCCCUUUAAAUAUCUAGCAUGAAGAUGAAGCCGAUUUCGAGGGAAUCUUUCAACGUGCUAGCCAGUAAAGAUUUGUGUUGGAUAUGUUCCUGUUUCUUCAGAAGCCAAGGCUUCCUAGUGGCCACGUUGCAUUUUGAGGUAUAUACUUUGAUGAUUGGAAUUUACCCUCUUCGAUAGCCAAGGUUCAAAUAACUCAAACAAGCUGCAUUGCUGACCUUUUUGUCUCUGGUAGAAGAACACGAAUGUUGGCUUUGUUUUAUUUUGAAAUCCCCGUUGGCAGGUGAGAAAGAUCAUUGUUAAGUUUUAUCUGACUCCAGGAUGUAUUUGAUAUGUUAUGCUGAUAUAGACAGAGCCACAGCAUCGGCAUUGCAAAUCCUACUAUCACAUUUGUUAGGAGAUGCUGGCAGGCUAAUAUUGUGGGUUUGGCAUUUCUUUCUUCAUCAUUCAUGGUAACCGACUGAAUACAAAUUUAAACAAUUCAAACAAACUGCAUUGCUGACUUUUUUGUCCCUGGAAGAAGAACACAAAUGUUGGCUUUGUUUCUUUUGAAAUCCCUGUUGGCAGUGGUCUCUCAAGAUGUUGUUGGUUCAAAAGUAUCUUCUGCAUUUAGUGGUGACAAUUAUUUUAUAAUAGAGAAAACACAGGGGGCAAAUUGAAAAGACUCAGGGUGAUAUCGUUGCAGACAAGGAUGUUAUCAUUCGUCGUUCAUGGUUGAAUGAUGUGGAACAUAUGUUACGCUGAUACAGACAGAGCCACAGCAUGGGCUUGCAAAUCUUGCUAUCAUAUUUGUUAGGAGAUGCUGGCAGCCUUAUAUUGUGGGUUUGAUAUGUAAUAUAUAAUUUGUUGUGCCUAAUAAAGCUAUGAA